This 306-nucleotide ribosomal RNA is filed under the name Triticum aestivum (bread wheat). Its description in RNAcentral is "partial small subunit ribosomal RNA". Lineage: Eukaryota; Viridiplantae; Streptophyta; Magnoliopsida; Poales; Poaceae. The record is from RNAcentral.
AUGAAGCUAAAACGAGUUGGAGUUCUAGGGGGUGCAAAAAACUUCCUGAUGUUGGAUGGACACAGACUGAUUCCAGCUGAAUAUGUGAAGACAUGUUCUGAUGGGGCUGGUGCUGGGGCUGUAUUGCAAAGAGGGGAUGACGGCGCUGUUAUGUUUUUGCUGUUGCUGAUUUUUGUUGGUUGGUCACAGCGCGUUGGUAAGGCUUCGCAUGACGAGGCUCUGCCACUAAUCAACAGCCUUAGUUCAGUUUUUCUUUUUUUAGAAGAAGCCUUAGUUCAGCUGAACGAUUGUCCUCUCUGUUUAUAG